Molecule: transfer RNA, 92 nt
Filed under: Blumeria graminis f. sp. tritici
Lineage: Eukaryota; Fungi; Ascomycota; Leotiomycetes; Helotiales; Erysiphaceae
Also listed under: 1 other name
Rfam family: tRNA
About the family: Transfer RNA (tRNA) molecules are approximately 80 nucleotides in length.
Source: Rfam by way of RNAcentral
GCCCGGGUAGCUCAAUCGGUAGAGCGUGUGGCUCUUAGUGACUCUGUUCAUUAGCUACCUCAAGGUCGCGGGUUCGAGCCCCGCCUCGGGCU